Long non-coding RNA from Hylaeus anthracinus, 6785 nucleotides. RefSeq lists it as uncharacterized. The transcript has 3 exons. The record is from RefSeq and is a predicted model, not a curated record. NCBI's taxonomy places the organism in Eukaryota, Metazoa, Arthropoda, Insecta, Hymenoptera, Colletidae.
ACAACGAUCGUGUAACAUCGUCUGCGCGUGCGUAACAAUCACGUUUUUCCCUACGUGUAAUCGGCGAAGUAACUUCAGUUCUUUUCGUGUCUCUCCCUUUCGUUUACGCGACGCAUACGCGGAGAGUAACGUUUGCGCGAAAAUAUUCGACUAAUCACGGCUCUCCGUCGCUGUUGGACUGGAAUUAGUUUUCGUUAAGGAGCCUGUUUAGUUUGGAGUUUUAAAAGUUGGACGAUAUUUGGAAUUGUUCAUUUUUUACUCAUGUUUAUCGAUGUGUUGCGGAGCUAUCGAAAUUAUCUCAAGUAUUUAAUUAAACGAUCGGUUCGAGGUCUCCAAAUAAAUUUUUCAUCACGAAUAAUACACAAGUGUAAUGUAUUUAUAAUGAAAAAUUUAUUUCGAAACGUUACGUUCUGUCCUCCAAUUUAGAUGCAUUUCAUUGUCAGACUUACGAGACUGUAACUGCUUUCGAUGCUACAAUCGGUCAGAAAAUGUACAAAAAAAGUAACAUCGAUUCUUCUCACCUCCAAAGCUAGACAGACACCUUAACGGCGAAAAUGAUUACACCGCCUACGAAUCAUCACGGAAUCGUCAAUUAUUAAAUUACGUGCGUUGUUGGAUCUCAGUUGCGACUCUUAAUUGGCCAGUAUUGAGAAAUCGGAAAAUUCUAGUCUCCAAGCGUUCCAGAGGAUCGUCAUCCCUGGAGAAGCUUCGUGGUAUAGGAGCAGUUCGAAACAAACGUCAAUGACAAGGGUCAUUCGACAAUUUUAUGAUGAAUUCGUAAUGAAUUCGAGUUCGUGACGACAUUUGUGUGUCAUAGUUAACCCUUCGAGCUCGACUCCCGUACAGUGUAUAACGAAGAGCACGAAAGCUGUGGCAAGACCACCGCGCAAGUGUACAUAGCGCAGGUUUUCGAUUGGCGAAGAGACACCGAGUACUUGCACCCAUCGGAGACCUUCACUCCUUGCCCCAACUUUCGCGCUCCCACGUACCUUUGUGUUUCCGUGUUUGCGAAUCAAACUUUAUCGUCCGAAGACGAUGCAUAGUUACCUAUUUUUCCGAACAACUUUUUUACGACACUCCAUCGAAAGUCAGGAAAAUUGAUAAGCUGUUUUACACAGAUUAAGAUUGAAAGUAUCGUGCUCGAAGGAGAAUAUACACCACGAGGCUUCACACUGCUUCCGUAGUAGGCCUAGAUUAGUGGGGAUCAAGCGCGAAUCCCUUCUCACCCUCUGUUUAAGAUUCUCAGUUGCAAAUGAAAACGUUUGAAAUUCUCCAACAAGUGUUCGACGCUCCCGAAGGAAGAAGGGAUCGAGCUUGAGCGACUUCCACGUCAGAGACUAGGAUUUUAGGAUACAAGAGAUCUAGAUUGUUCCGUGCGAUGAAAUUGAUCGCGAUUCGGUGCGAAGGAAACGCUUACGGAACGAACACGGUCCAAAGAGAACGGCCGCCUUUCUCUUGCCGCGCAGAUGUUCCCUCUCCGUUCGAGUAUGUCCUACAAACUACGUGGCAUUUCUUCUUCGUAAUGGUUUACUUCCCCUCCCCCUCCCCCAAUCUUUUGUAAGCUUACAUUUUACACCGAUCAUCGCUGUACAGAGCAUUGUUCCGCGAAACUCUGGUCUGCUUUAACUGAACGACGAGAAAAGUUAACGAACGAGGAGACUCGGUGCACCAAUGGGCACUACUCGGCGAAGCUUGUACUCGCGAAACGACGGGCACAAUUUUUUCACUUCUUCCAUGAAUGCUGCGAUUUUCUCGUUCAAUUAGGAAACAAGCUGUAGAGGAAACAAAAAGAAAAAAAAAAAAAUCGUUCAAAAACAGCGAUCGACGAAGAGCGUCGUUUGUCCCGUUGAUUUCGAGGGAACAAGUGUCGCGAGUCCGAUGAGGUUACACAAAAAAAAAACAAAAAAAAAAAGAAGAUGAAGCAGAAGGUCAGAACUUUUGUUCUGUCGUUCCAACGAAUAGAGGUCGACGAGUUUAUCGUAAGCUGUAAAUCGUAGAUAAUAUUAAGGAUAAUCGAGUCGCGAUCUCUGUAAUGAUGACGAUAAAACGCUGAGCGAUGAGACGACGACAUCACCGACGACGUAUAGUGGUGUCGAUGUAACGAGAACCGAGAAACACCGAUAACGAUUUUCCCCUUUCCGUGUCUCUUUGAUAAACUCCGUCGCGGAUACGAUGCAAUUUGCUGUCAAAUUUAGGGUACGUAAGGAUAGAGUUGUAAAAGUAUAUCUAUUAUUGUACGUAAACAAAAACAACCGCAAAGAAGUACGUUUAAGGUUCGGCUAGGUGGACGCGUCGAGCGCGACGCGCUUAAACGCCUCGACGAACGCCCGUUUCGCGCGAGAUGGGGAGGAUCGAUUGAUAAUAACGAUGCAACAAUAACAAUUGUACAUAACGAGGAAGAGAGAAUGAGAGAGAACAAAAUCGAAUUCGUUCGCGCGAGCCGUGACAAGCGCACGAUAUAAAAUAUUUUGUUAUGCAAACGGUGAAGAAGUUCGAUGUUUUUUGGGGACGAAAGGAUGGCUGUGUGAUUUUCAAAGUCGUCCAACCGGAGUUUCCCCGACGUUUCCGAGUCGUGUUGGAAUAUUCGUGGCCUCGGUAGUUGUAUAACGAGUAUUCGAGUAACGGCAUGGACGAAGGGUGGCAAGAGAGAAGAAGAGAAGAGAAACACCGUCGUUACGCGCAACAACGAGAUUUCCUUUUAUCAUUCCCAAAGCUCGUCUGCCAUUCUUGGUCGCUUCCAUGUUUAAACGUGAAUGGGAGAAGCAUCGAUAAUACAUUCCGGUUGAAUCGCCGAUCUCGAGAUAUCGCCCACGAUCACAAUUCAUUCAGGAAGAGGGAAUCUCGACCGGAGGGACCGAUCUUACACGGGAGAGAUAGAUUUGCAGCCGCCGGUACUCCUGUCGAAUUUUCUUCCAUUGAAGAUGGAAGACCAAGACUGAAGCGAACGAGACAAGAGGAUAACGGGAGGGCUUAACGAUGGCGCGAUCGACGAAGAAUGAGAUCAUCGAUUGGCCACCUUUCGACGCGCAUCCCGUUGUUUCUCUUGGCGAAACAAUUGUCUCGUGUUUGCGCGUCCGACGUGAAUAGGAUUGCUCGAAGAAACUGUAUCGGAAGUGACGUGCCAGUAGGUCUAGUCGUUGGGGGAAAGAGGAAGACUCGACAUUUUUUCAAGCAUCGUCCAUUACGAGGCCCCGACAGAGGAACAAUUAUUUUUUGCCGUUUUUUUCUCCUAUCUAAGAGGAAACGAUCUAGAAGUUUCCAUUAUAGAAGUAACAGCGCAAACGUGUUGAAUGCGAACGGCUACGUUGCGUGAAAACGAUCGAGAGAUCCUCCGGAAAUGAAGGGAAACACAUUGGAGAGCCAGUAAUAUUUCGCGAACGAUAGAAGUAGGCGGAUAAACAAGUUGGUAUCUAAACCGUAAACGUUUAUAUCGUAAUUUUGGUACUGUUAUUCGGUAUCUACACGCAUUUGCAAGGAUACGUUCGUGUAUCGCUGUAGUACGAAGACGAAGAAGAAGAAGAUGAAGAUGAAGAUGAAGAUGAAGAAGAAGAAGAAGAAGAAGAAGAAGAAGAAGAAGAAGAAGAAGAAGAAGAAGACGAUUGGUAGCAGCACCGAAGUGAAAGAUUGGAACGAGAGGGAAGAAACGUGUCUUUCAAGAUCGUCGAUUCGAAGAAAGUGAGAAACGAAUCGAAGAAGGAACGAAGAGUGACGAUUGUGUGUGGAAAACAAUGAAGAAAAAAUAUAAAACGCUGUCUGCGUUGAUCAUUUUGGGAUUGAAAUCGGAUCUAAGAGCGAAGCUGGAACGAAUGUGAGGAUUUCUAAAAAAUGAUCAGAAAAAAAUGUCUUUUUGAGAACAAAAAGCGCCAAAAAAAAUCUGUGUAUAAAGUCAGUCGAGAAUGUGUAUGCAUGUGUGACAGAGGGGAUGAAUGAAUGAGAUGGAUCGAGGAAAGGAAAGAUGCGAUAAGCAUGGAGCAAGUGACAAAGAAGACGAAUAUUGAUAAGAAGAAGAAAGAAAACAGAAGCGUUGGUGUGCAAUAAUCGUCAGGAAUGGUUUUUAUCAACUUCCUGGCGCGAAAGUUCAAAGACAAGUCGAUGGAAGAACAAAUUUUUGGUUCCUCUUCCGUCUGCGGACAAAGUAUAUGCGAGGAUCUUUUUUAGAAAGAUGGAAGGAGAAGUUUCCGAUGCUAUUCGCGAAACGUUUCUCAAAAUUGACUUCAUUGAAGAAAAUAUUUCGGUACAGCACAAUUACAUACACACAAGCAUAAAGAUACACAUCCGUAUGACACGUAUGUACAUAACGCGACAGAAGUGCAGGAGAAACAAAUAGAGCCGAUUCGUAAAACGAAACGCGCGUUUAUGUGAGUCACGUGUGCAGAAAAAAAAAAAAAAAGAUUGAUACAAACACCGGGCGCACAUAACCUAACACUGUACAAUUGCAAAUAAACGAUAGAUGGGGAAGCGCAAAAGAUUCCAAGCGGAGAUACAAAAUGGAGAGAAAGCUGUUUCUGUAACGGGAACGCCUGACAAUUUUCGAUUAAGGCCCCGUUACACAGGAAAGAAACACGGUACAACGCCGCGUUCCAAGUUUCUUUGGUGUUUACUUAAACGCAGAUGGAGCCACUUUAUGAACAAAAUGAAAGAUGAAGGAGAACAACAGGAGAAAAUUUGUAACGUUUCCAUAGUAUCGCAAACGAUCCUUUCUGUUCCUUGUCCCCGUCUCGUUUUUCCCAAACUUUUUCCCUACACGCUUUUCUUUGAUACUAGUGAAACAAGAACAUGGCAAGCCACGCUACGAAGCUACCUAGCUUCACCUCUUCACGACUACCCAACGAGAAUCAUCUUUAGUUUCCGUUUCCACCUUAUACCUCAACAAGUCUUAUGCAUAUCCCGUCCACAAUUUCCUUUUACUACACCCUUUUUCUUUAGGGCCCUUCUCAGGGCCCGCAAAUGCAUCAUCUACGGAGCAUCAAUCUCUUGGAUCAACAUGAAUAGAAAAUCUGUCCUUUUCAGGACAAUCUAUUAAAAACUGUCCUUUUCAGGACAAUCUAUUAAAAACUGUCCUUUUCAGGACAAUAUAUCACAGCUGCCAUUUUUGGCUAAGCUUUUCAGUAACUUAUCCUUCGUAAGGACAAAAUUAAUCCUGCCUCAAAAUAAAACAAAAUAAAAUUUGUGUCUGGAUAAAAUCCCAUUGUACCCGAAUUGCUUGUGUCCCUUCUAGGGGUGCGUCGCAAACUUUAAAUUUUCAGCCUGGCCAGCCAGUACUUUGGUGCGUAUAAUGUUAAUCUUUCCAAAUUUUAACGAUUUAAUGUACAUAACCUAACCCCAUCUUUGUUGCAGUCCUGUAAGUUUUAUACGACACAUGUUUGAUUUCCUUUGAAAAUUGAUAACUAUUGCUGACGCAACAGUUUGCGGUACGAACGGGUAAGUAUUGCUCAGCGUGACUUAAGCACAUUUGCGUCGAAACCUCAGAAGGCCAUGGAAGAUAACCGGUAUCGUUCAGGAAGUAUGUCGCGUCACUCGCGUCACGUUUCGCUAGAAAAACAAGCUAGUUUUACCGUAUCGACACGACGUACUUUUCUGACAAGAUUCCAUUUUUGUAUCGUCGUCAAGUGUUACGAUAUAAACUGAUCAACGUUAGUAAAUGUAAUUUUUUGAAACUAGAAUCUUUACUACUUUUAUAGAUCGUCAUGUGUCGAAAAAUAUCGAAGUCACGUUUUAAAAAGUUGUGCUAAGUUUAUAAUUUGUUUUUUAACAGAUGAAUGAGCCUCGAUGGAUUUGGAACGACCACAAAAGAUACUCCUAGCGAUAAAUACGCUACAAGCAUGAAAAAUUAAGUGACUUUAAUAAACUAUUUUCGAUCGUUCAGCCGAUGCAUGUUUCAUUUCGCAGUAUAAUCUUGUAGUUGUCCCACCAGUACAGCUACAGUGUGGUAUACGAAUGCUCCGGGCAAUGCCCUACCAAGAUUAGCAUGUAUACGUGUGGAUUCGCACAAGAACGCUUUAUUAUAGCAGACAAAUCUAGCAUGUAUUAAGAUAUCUGUCUUUCUAACUUUUUUAUUCAUUUAUUCUGAUAAGAUUGUAAGAAGUUAAUCUGUCUUCACACGAUCUUCUUUCGCACCGAUUAAAUGUAAUGAAAUACAGUAUAUGCACUGAAAUUCGUGACGGACAGUGAACUCGAAACUUAAUGGAAACGGUGCGAAGAUUGAUGGCCUUGUUUUGUUGCUUAUACGAAUCAGUAGUCAGACGUUGAACGAAAGCAAGAAGAAAAAAGUCUGCUUAUCGAUUCUCUUUUCUCAAUAUUGUUUUAUGCACGUACUUGUAGCCUGCAAAUAUUUGCCUUGUAUUUUAAAACUUUAUGACGCGCGCAACCGUGUCGUUUAGUAUGACUAAUCGAAAAGACAAAGUCAUGCCUCAAAAACUGAAAGGAAGAGCGUGACGAGCAUAACUGUAUUUUAUAGAAGAGAAAUCGAUUGGUCGCUGUGAGUCAUGUUUCGCUAUUAAAAACUUGAUCGUAUCGAUCGUGGAAUUUUCAUGAAUAUAUUUUUAUAUCGAAGACCAAGUGUUAAUAAAUAUAUUUUUAAGUAAUAACACGGACAAGAUUCUUCCAUUUCUAACUCGUUACUGUUUCUUAGGCUUAGAAGUACCGUCUACCAUCGGUGAUAUUGUACAAUUUUAUGUUCGAGCCAGCCCCAUAAGUUGCCAAUACAUCCUGAUUCCCGAUCAUCCACGUAAAUCCUACGAUAGUAUUUUCAAAGGAAAUCGAGCGCAGGCACGAAUGCUGAACAG